RNAcentral lists this ribosomal RNA (500 nucleotides) under uncultured bacterium. RNAcentral's name for it is "partial 16S ribosomal RNA". It matches the Rfam family "Bacterial small subunit ribosomal RNA", at positions 30 to 523 of the family's 1533-position model. The record is from RNAcentral.
AUUGAACGCUGGCGGAAUGCUUUACACAUGCAAGUCGAACGGCAGCACGGACUUCGGUCUGGUGGCGAGUGGCGAACGGGUGAGUAAUGUAUCGGAACGUGCCCAGUCGUGGGGGAUAACGUAGCGAAAAUUACGCUAAUACCGCAUACGAUCUAUGGAUGAAAGCGGGGGAUCGCAAGACCUCGCGCGACUGGAGCGGCCGAUAUCAGAUUAGGUAGUUGGUGGGGUAAAGGCCCACCAAGCCAACGAUCUGUAGCUGGUCUGAGAUGACGACCAGCCACACUGAGACUGAGACACGGUCGAGAGUCCUACGGGAGGCAGCAGGUGGUAAUUUUGGGCAAUGGGCGAAAGCCUGAUCCAGCCAUUCCGCGUGCAGAAUGAAGGCCCUCGGGUUGUAAACUGCUUUUGUACAGAACGAAAAGGUUACUAAUAAUACUAGGAGCUCAUGACGGUACUGUAAGAAUAAGCACCGGCUAACUACGUGCCAGCAGCCGCAGUAA